Long non-coding RNA from Lagopus leucura (white-tailed ptarmigan), 258 nucleotides. RefSeq lists it as uncharacterized. The record is from RefSeq and is a predicted model, not a curated record. Lineage: Eukaryota; Metazoa; Chordata; Aves; Galliformes; Phasianidae. The transcript has 3 exons.
AAAAGCCAAUCUGCAAAGAGUUACUCUGCAACAAGAAAAUACAAAACAAAAACCCCACAUGAUACAAAAAGGAGCUUACAACACGAGAUCCGAACACUUAAAACAAUGAUUCUGAAUUAUUGAAACUUCAAUCAAGCCCUAAUGUAAUACUUGACCUUACAAUGGAUGAGAAGAAACCCAGAUCAAAGCACUGCCAAGAAUUCAAGAAAGCUUAAUACCUUGCUUUCAGAAGACAGUACUGGAAGUGGAUGUGUGAAC